GCUCACUCCAACCCAAUGUGAACGUUACCAAACUGUUGCCUCGGCGGGGUCACGCCCCGGGUGCGUCGCAGCCCCGGAACCAGGCGCCCGCCGGAGGAACCAACCAAACUCUUUCUGUAGUCCCCUCGCGGACGUAUUUCUUUACAGCUCUGAGCAAAAAUUCAAAAUGAAUCAAAACUUUCAACAACGGAUCUCUUGGUUCUGGCAUCGAUGAAGAACGCAGCGAAAUGCGAUAAGUAAUGUGAAUUGCAGAAUUCAGUGAAUCAUCGAAUCUUUGAACGCACAUUGCGCCCGCCAGUAUUCUGGCGGGCAUGCCUGUCCGAGCGUCAUUUCAACCCUCGAACCCCUCCGGGGGAUCGGCGUUGGGGAUCGGGACCCCUCACACGGGUGCCGGCCCCUAAAUACAGUGGCGGUCUCGCCGCAGCCUCUCCUGCGCAGUAGUUUGCACAACUCGCACCGGGAGCGCGGCGCGUCCACGUCCGUAAAACACCCAACUUUCUGAAAUGUUGACCUCGGAUCAGGUAGGAAUACCCGCUGAACUUAAGCAUAUCAAUAAGCGGARGAA
RNAcentral lists this ribosomal RNA (565 nucleotides) under Trichoderma sp. PPRI 16764. Its description in RNAcentral is "eukaryotic LSU rRNA". The record is from RNAcentral. Lineage: Eukaryota; Fungi; Ascomycota; Sordariomycetes; Hypocreales; Hypocreaceae.